UGGAAUGGGGGAAGGGACCCAGAUGGGCCCUCGUCCAGCGAAGAGGGUCAGCUGUCAGGUCCGGGACGCCUUGAAGUUGAUGCAACCUCGGGUUCCCCACCCCACCCCGGCCAAGCCUAGGAUGAGCGCGGUGCUGCGGGUCGGCGGGUCCGGGACCCCGAGUGCUCGCAUCCCAGGUUCAAGCCAGGAAGGAGCCAGAGGAGGGAGCCGCGUCUACAGGGGCACCCCGGCUCCGACAGGUGACGACUCCACCUCCUCUUGGAUGCCUCCACUGACGAUGACCUCACCACCUAACAAGGCUGUUUGUCCCUCCAUCAAGCCUGGAGUGGAACUCACCUGUGCUGGAUACCGCACCUAGUGGGAGCAGCGGGUGAGAGCCAGCGAGGUCACACAGCUGCAGCAUCCGCAGCAACCCCGGGCAGCUCAGGAGGCUUCUCCUCUAGGUACCCAGGCACUCAGCAGUGCCCUCUGAGCCAUUUUGCAAAGGGAUGGGGGGGGGGCACUGAACCCUAGGAGGCCACCUCUGCCUAACGCUGGAUUUCUCAGCCUGGACAGUAGGAAUCGUUGGGGCCAGACAGUGCUGUUCUCGAGGCUGCACUGUGCAUUGUAGGGUGCUCAACCAUCCUUGCGCCCCCCCCCCGAUGUGACAGACAUUGCCACACGUCCCUGGGGGCAAAAUCACCUGGGUUGUGCCCACUAGUCUAACACCUUCAUUUCACAGACGAGGAGACUGAGGCCUAGAGAGAGGCAAUGAGUUCCCCUAGGUCACACAGCAGGCAGAGGCAGACAGGACCAAAGCCCAGUGCUCUGGUGAGUGUGCCGCCAGGCCCUCUGCCCUCCACACCUCGGCCAGGCCGCUCUCCUCACCCCCAUGUCCCCUACUUUCCUGGACGUUCCCUCAGUUCAGCCUUCACAAGUUAGAGGGGAAAGAAUCUGCAUCUGAGGAUACAUUAAAAGUACCGCCUCCUGGUGGGAAGGUGAAAUGUGCAACCGCUCUGGGGACUGGGGACUGGUGGGAGGUCCUCAACAGUUCGACAUGGUUACCCAAUGAGGCAGCAAUUCCACUCCUAGGAAUAUACCCAAGAGAAGCGAAAACACUGCCAUACAAAGCUCGCACAUGACUGUUCCUAUCAGCCUUACUCAUGAUGAUCAAGUGGGAAGCAGCCCAGUGUCCCUGAGCUGAUAGGGGAUAAACACAAUGUGGCAUGGAUGGUUAUUCAGCCAGGAAAAGGAAUGAAGCCCCAGAGACAUGCUUGCUGUAACAUGAAUGGACCUUGAAAGCAGGCUAAGUCAAAGGCACCAGUCACGAAGAGCCUCAUUCCAUUUAUAUGAAAUGUUCAGGACAGGCAGAUUCACUGAGGCAGAAAGUGAGUUGGUGGCUGCCAGAAACACGGAAAAGAGAGAGUAGGGAAUGCCUGGUCAUAGUUACAGGGUUUCUUUUGGGGGUGAUGAAAGUCUUCUAAAAUUGAUUGUGGUGAUCAUUGCUCAACUUUGUGGCUAUACUAAAAACCACUGAAUUACACACUUUAAGUGGGUGAAUUGUAUGGCAUGUGAAUUGUAUCCCAAUAAAGCCAUUUUUUUAAAAGAAAAAACACAAAAAGUAUGGCCCCCAGGAGGCCACCCUGACUGCUGCAGCCCAUAUCACUUCCCCCCCGUAACUCAGAUUCCUACAGGCCUCGCUUGCUAGGUUCAUGACCAGGCCCUACUGACUUCUCUCCUCCAAGGCGAAUGCAUCUCUUCCACCAUUUCCCUUAACAGGGCUCUGGCUUCCUGUUUGAAAAGUGGGCACUGAGGACAGACCAACAGGUUCGAAUUCAACUCCAAGGCCUUCUAGCUGAGUGGGCUUGGGCAAGACCCUUCCCGGAGCCUCGCUUGCUCAUCUGAUGAAGACGAGUGAGGUGGCCAAGAAAGCAUAACCCCCACCCCAUGAUUACUUCUUGCUCCUAAGACAAGCCCACAAACCACUGGCUCCCUGACCCAGGCAGUGGUCCAUCCAACUACUGUGCCUGGAACUGUUCUUCAGCCCCUUCUAGACUGUCCUAGGCAAGAGGAAUGCCAUGCUAUCAGUUCUCACCCAGAAAAGGCUUCCUUCAGCUCCUUGAGUUGCUGCUGAGAAACAGGAAAGGCCUCUCAGAGCCUGGGUUCCAUGGGACCAGCCCCACGGAGUCCUCCUGAAAGUCCUACUGCUCACCUGUUCUGAGAAGCCAGAAUUCCUCAUGUGGACACCAGAUGAGGACCCAUGGUGAUCCUGUUGCUGACAGCUGACCAAAGAGGAGGCUGCCAGGAUUUCAGAAAUCUGAGCAGCUGCUGUUAUUAACUGAGGCCUCUGGUGAACCCUGACCAGACAUAAGGUCGGCCAAUCAGAGCCCAGCAUUCACCAGUACAGUGAUUGGUUCAUGAAUGAGCACAUGACUCUCCUGGACCAAUCAGAUCCCUCCCUGAGACUGGCUGGCACUAUCAGGGAAUACCUCAGUCUCCCUUAGACCCCAAGCUAGCCUUAAACUGAGAGAUUACAAACUGGGGGCCAUGCUGGGCCACCACAUAGUACACUUCUACUCAGAAUGAAGCCAUGAUAGAGGAAAGCAAGUGGACAGAGAUUCUGCCCUAGGGACAUUCUUUGAGGCUUGGAUUUUGGCGUCCUUAAAGAGAGCUGUACUGUUGGCCGUCGAUUAAAAGAGCCAAUAACAGUUCUUUUUAUUUACUUUUCCUUUCUUAAAAAUGCAAACUCAGUCAGGAAAGGUGGUGCAUGCUUGUAAUCCCAACACUUGGGAUGCUGAGGCAAGAGGAUUGCUGCGAGUUCGAAGCCAGCCUGCACUACAUAGCAAGACCUUGUGCCAAAAAGCAAACAAACCAAAACAAAAAAGUGCAAACUCAUCUGAGGCAAGCUUCUGUUAGUGGUCCUCAGGAGAUUUCAGAUUAUGCAUGGUGGCAGCCUCACCCAACACCUUCUGUUGUUUGCUAAGCCCUUCACACACUCCUCUCUCGUCAGAGGUGAGAGCAAGAUGCUGGGUCCUGGGAAGGAAUCUGGAUUUUUUCAGGGGGAGGUUGUCCUGAGGAAGGCCAACUCUGAGCCUCCUUGAAGUUUUUAGGGGCUGUUAGUGAAGAAAGAAGUCUCACAGUACAGUCUUGUUUUUCAAACCCCCCAAACCUUGCUGAGUUGGGAACAGCAUGUCCUGUCAACAGAAAUUUCCCUGCUCUGUCGUGGAUAAGAGCUUGACUUGAGUCAGGCUGCCAGUGAGCAGAUCCCUUACUUUGCCUCUCCCGGGGUCAUUUUCCUCCCAUAAGGUGGGGUAGUAAUAGUGCCUACCUCAUAGGGUUGCCACAUGUUACUAGAGCUAAUGUAGGAAAGGCGCUUUGGACCCAGCAUAUGGUGGGUGCUCAGUACACAUUAACUGGUAUUUAUAUCAUGGCUAAGGCCUUCAGUGUAUCAAUCAGGUUUUCCAGGGAACAAAUAAAUGGCUCUCCUGAAUAGAAUAAUUUGAGAAGGAUUUAAGAAAUAUAUACAUACAAGGGAGAGGGCCACAACCCUCAGAUUUGUUUCCAUCUUGAGCUCAGAAGGUAAAGAAUAGGGUGGCUAUCAGACCUAGAAGCAGACAGUCCUGUCUUGUAGAAAGACCACAGGGGAGGAGUGGGGCACGCACACGUGGCCACCCCAAGGGAGCCAGCCAGAAAAGCAAGAGCUCAGAUUCUCCGUCCUCCCUGCAGUCUCCUGCAGUGGCUCCCAACUGCCAAACCCAACUGGAAGCAAAGGACACAGUGGUCCAUUUGUCAGCUCAUGGAGGUCCAUUGGGCUGGGGGGAGGUUAGGCCAAAAUGGCAAAGCUAUAGAGUGGUAGUCACUGGCUCCAACCCCACAGCCUCUGGGUGUGAACCAUGGACAAAUCCAUCAAGACACUGGAUAUGGGGACGAAGCCUCUGAGACCCUCCAGCCCAGCUGGUCUUCUGUUAGCUAACUGCCACACAGCAACCCUGUCAGUGUCUCAUUGGACAGAAGAAUCACCAGACAAGUCUGGUAAAUCUGAUAGAACUAUGCUAAAGCUGGUAAAAAUUAUAAUAAAGUUGAUUGCUAUUUGGGA
Non-coding RNA from Heterocephalus glaber (naked mole-rat), 4075 nucleotides. The record is from RefSeq and is a predicted model, not a curated record. NCBI's taxonomy places the organism in Eukaryota, Metazoa, Chordata, Mammalia, Rodentia, Bathyergidae.